Molecule: ribosomal RNA, 497 nt
Filed under: uncultured bacterium
Lineage: Bacteria
Description: partial 16S ribosomal RNA
Rfam family: Bacterial small subunit ribosomal RNA
Source: RNAcentral
GAUGAACGCUGGCGGCGUGCCUAAUACAUGCAAGUCGAGCGAACGGACGAGAAGCUUGCUUCUCUGAUGUUAGCGGCGGACGGGUGAGUAACACGUGGAUAACCUACCUAUAAGACUGGGAUAACUUCGGGAAACCGUAGCUAAUACCGGAUAAUAUUUUGAACCGCAUGGUUCAAAAGUGAAAGACGGUCUUGCUGUCACUUAUAGAUGGAUCCGCGCUGCAUUAGCUAGUUGGUAAGGUAACGGCUUACCAAGGCAACGAUGCAUAGCCGACCUGAGAGGGUGAUCGGCCACACUGGAACUGAGACACGGUCCAGACUCCUAAGGGAGGCAGCAGUAGGGAACCUUCCGCAAUGGGGGAAAGCCUGACGGAGCAACGCCGCGUGAGUGAUGAAGGUCUUCGGAUCGUAAAACUCUGUUAUUAGGGAAGAACAUAUGUGUAAGUAACUGUGCACAUCUUGACGGUACCUAAUCAGAAAGCCACGGCUAACUACGUG